Gossypium hirsutum (cotton) is the source of this 127-nucleotide non-coding RNA. The record is from Rfam. Lineage: Eukaryota; Viridiplantae; Streptophyta; Magnoliopsida; Malvales; Malvaceae.
UGUUAAAAAUUUCAUUCAUUUCUACUGUUAAAAAUUGAAACAACUGACGAAAUAAUGCCAUAGGUGUACUUCAUGUUGACGUACAAUGAUUGAUUUUUAACAGUAACAAUGGUUGAAAUUGUUAACA